GGAGGAUCCAAGCGUUAUCCGGAAUCAUUGGGUUUAAAGGGUCCGUAGGCGGUUUAGUAAGUCAGUGGUGAAAGCCCAUCGCUCAACGGUGGAACGGCCAUUGAUACUGCUAGACUUGAAUUAUUAGGAAGUAACUAGAAUAUGUAGUGUAGCGGUGAAAUGCUUAGAGAUUACAUGGAAUACCAAUUGCGAAGGCAGGUUACUACUAAUGGAUUGACGCUGAUGGACGAAAGCGUGGGUAGCGAACAGGAUUAGAUACCCUGGUAGUCCACGCCGUAAACGAUGGAUACUAGCUGUUCGGAGCAAUCUGAGUGGCUAAGCGAAAGUGAUAAGUAUCCCACCUGGGGAGUACGUUCGCAAGAAUG
RNAcentral lists this ribosomal RNA (365 nucleotides) under uncultured organism. RNAcentral describes it as "bacterial SSU rRNA". It matches the Rfam family "Bacterial small subunit ribosomal RNA", at positions 527 to 896 of the family's 1533-position model. The record is from RNAcentral.